GAUGAACGCUGGCGGCGUGCCUAAUACAUGCAAGUCGAGCGAACAGACGAGGAGCUUGCUCCUCUGACGUUAGCGGCGGACGGGUGAGUAACACGUGGAUAACCUACCUAUAAGACUGGGAUAACUUCGGGAAACCGGAGCUAAUACCGGAUAAUAUAUUGAACCGCAUGGUUCAAUAGUGAAAGACGGUUUUGCUGUCACUUAUAGAUGGAUCCGCGCCGCAUUAGCUAGUUGGUAAGGUAACGGCUUACCAAGGCGACGAUGCGUAGCCGACCUGAGAGGGUGAUCGGCCACAUUGGAACUGAGACUCGGUCCAGACUCCUACGGGGGGCAACAGUAGGGAAUCUUACGCAAGGGGCGAAAGCCGGACGGAGCAACGCCGCGUGAGUGAUGAAGGUCUUCGGAUCGUAAAGCUCUGUUAUUAGGGAAGAACAAAAGUGUAAGUAACUAUGCACGUCUUGACGGUACCUAAACAGAAAGCCACGGCUAACUACGUG
Molecule: ribosomal RNA, 497 nt
Filed under: uncultured bacterium
Lineage: Bacteria
Description: partial 16S ribosomal RNA
Rfam family: Bacterial small subunit ribosomal RNA
Source: RNAcentral